CAAUAGCGUAUAUUAAAGUUGUUGCAGUUAAAAAGCUCGUAGUUGGACCUUGGGCCUGGACGGGCGGUCCGCCUCACGGCGUGUACUGUCUUGCCGGGCCUUUCCUCUUGGUGAUCUGUUGUUUCGGCAGCAGGGAACCAGGACCUUUACUGUGAAUAAAUUAGAGUGUUCAAAGCAGGCUUACGCCGUUGAAUAUGCUAGCAUGGAAUAAUAAGAUAGGACCUUGGUACUAUUUUGUUGGUUUGCGCACCGAGGUAAUGAUUAAUAGGGACAGUUGGGGGUAUUCGUAUUGCAUUGUCAGAGGUGAAAUUCUUGGAUUUUUGCAAGACGAACGACUGCGAAAGCAUUUACCAAGGAUGUUUNCAUUA
RNAcentral lists this ribosomal RNA (368 nucleotides) under uncultured eukaryote. Its description in RNAcentral is "partial 18S ribosomal RNA". It matches the Rfam family "Eukaryotic small subunit ribosomal RNA", at positions 592 to 975 of the family's 1831-position model. The record is from RNAcentral.